ACAUCAAGUGAAGUGAAGUCCAGGGUGAUUCCAUGCAUGCGAUCCGCCUGCCACUGCCAGGGAUUGGAUACGGCAGAAAGUAAAACACGCGGAUCGCCUGUCGGCAAGCCUCCUCUUGUGGGUUGGGUCGGUCAAAAAUGUCUGCCCAAACCGUGCCCGUUGCUCCCUUGCCUUCUUAUCGUGUUGAUCCAAUAAUAAAGGUUACUUGUACUUGUUCCCAUUCCCAUGCCGCUAAUGCUACUAGUUAAUAAUCUUCGUUUACAUAUGCAUGAUGACGAGAGUAUUCCUUUGUGGAGGUCUUUUUGCGUGAAUGAUGAUAAUAACGGCCGGAAAAGUAGGUUUGCCCCGUGAGAAUGUCCAAGCGCACCGAUCCAUCAUUCCAUUUUUUCCCCUUUAUUAUAUGCAUACUCCCUCUAUACCAAAGUCAUUUUAGACAAAAUUUGAAUCAAACAUUAGAAAUAUAAAUCACGAAUAACUUUUAAGUUAUUAUAUUUGAAAAUAUAAAAACUAUAAGAAUAGAUUUGUUUUGAGAAAUAUUUUUAUAAAAAUUAUACAUAUACACUUUUUGAUAAAUAUUUUUUAUAAAAAUAAAGAGUCAAAGUUAUACUUUACAGACUGUAUCGCUAUUCUAAACGAUUUCCUCUAUAUCUAUAGAGGGACUACUAGCUAGUAUGGGGGCCGGCAAGGAUUUAGUGAAGGCCCCCAAUUCCAUUCUAGUUAUUGGUUCCCUCGGAUCAGAGUGAACGUUUGCAUAUUGUCUUCCUCCUACUAUUUCUCUCCUUUUUUUUUUUUUGGUCGCGACCGACGUGCUCUUUCUGGAAGUGAUAAGGUUCAUUUCAAGGCUGCGGUAUUUUUUCUCAGUACUGUAUAACUUUGAUUAAAGAUUUACAACAGAUAGUUUGUUUGGUUAGCUGACAAGUAAAUCAAGAGUUCUAUUAGAUUGGAACUCGUAUCGUAAGAUUGUAAAUCAUGGUGUCAUAAUUAUUAUAAUAAACUUUGCUUGGUAAAAAUAGUUAAAUCAAGCAAUAAACUAAGAUCGUGAAGUUGUAACUGUACAACAAAAUCAUGAUUUUUAACAACUAGCAACAUGUACCUUUACUCUACUCAUAAAAGAUCAUCUUAAAUCAUAGUUAAUAUAUAUACUACCCGCUAUUCAUGAAUUCCACCUAGAGGUACGAAGGAAAGAAGAGCGACCAGAGGUGGCAAAGGAAGCAAAAGCACAAGAGAGGUAAGGCCUUGUUUAGUUCAAAAUUUUUUAGAAAAUCGUCACUGUAGCAUUUUCGUUUGUAUUUAACGAAAAUUAUCUAAUCAUGGACUAACUAGGCUCAAAAGAUUCGUCUCGUCAAUUCCGACCAAACUGUGCAAUU
Molecule: long non-coding RNA, 1367 nt
Filed under: Sorghum bicolor (sorghum)
Lineage: Eukaryota; Viridiplantae; Streptophyta; Magnoliopsida; Poales; Poaceae
Description: long non-coding RNA (SBIC_LNC004212)
Source: RNAcentral